GACGGAGGAUGCAAGCGUUAUCCGGAAUGAUUGGGCGUAAAGCGUCCGCAGGUGGCAGUUCAAGUCUGCUGUCAAAGACCGGGGCUUAACUUCGGAAAGGCAGUGGAAACUGAACAGCUAGAGUAUGGUAGGGGCAGAGGGAAUUCCUGGUGUAGCGGUGAAAUGCGUAGAGAUCAGGAAGAACAUCGGUGGCGAAGGCGCUCUGCUGGACCAUAACUGACACUCAGGGACGGAAGCUAGGGGAGCGAAUGGG
Molecule: ribosomal RNA, 253 nt
Filed under: uncultured bacterium
Lineage: Bacteria
Description: partial 16S ribosomal RNA
Rfam family: Bacterial small subunit ribosomal RNA
Source: RNAcentral